This is a non-coding RNA of Carica papaya (papaya), 858 nucleotides long. NCBI's taxonomy places the organism in Eukaryota, Viridiplantae, Streptophyta, Magnoliopsida, Brassicales, Caricaceae. The record is from RefSeq and is a predicted model, not a curated record.
AUGGGUGAUUAGAGAAAGGAAAAAUUGGGCGAUUUUUUGGAGGAAAACAGAGCGCCUAAGAAAGGGAAAAAUCGGGUUUGAUAGGCCAGAAGAGAUUAGAGAGGUUUGAGAGAGAGAGAGAGGAAGAGGUGAGUUUGAGAAGAGAAACAGAGGAGACCUUUCUGGAUUUUUUUUUUUGGGGGCAAAAAUUUGGGAGAGGAGACGGCUUGAGUGAAGAGAAGUUGAGGAUUGAAUGAGAAUCCAAAAAGUAGAGCGAGAUUGUGAGCAUGGAAGAGCCUUGAGGUUGUGUGCGAUGUCAGAAGAUGGUGAAGCGAAAAAGGAAGAGUUCUGGGAUUUGCAGCUGCUUUCAGGUUUCCGCUAGCUUUGAUCUCUCCUGUUGGUAAAUUCUCCAGAGGAUCUAAUGGGUUCUGAUCUUCCUGUUAGCAAGAAAGACUGUAAAUUCCAUGGAGAAAAGACUGAAAAGUUACAGUAAAACUGGAUAAAAUAGUAGCUAACCGCAUAUAUUCUCCUAGAUUCCAGUAGAGUUGCUGUUAUUUCAUCAAAGUCUGAAUUGAUACAACGGAGGAAGUGAUCUGAAGGAUUCCUCCGACUUGGACAAGGAAAUCCUGCUUCAGCAAAGAACUGCAAGAUUCAUGCAGCCAAGAUUGAUACCAGACUCAGUUGGAACAUGCUGAAUAUGCAAAGAAGGCAACCAACUAUUGUACAAAAUAAGCACUCUUGCAUUGAGGUGAUGCUUUUAUUGAUAAGAAACUAUCCAUCUCAUACCUUUGCAGCCAUGGCUGCUGCUCCAAAGUAAACAGUCUCACCGCCAGAAAGGAGAAAUAGAUCUUCGAAGAGCGCAAAGACUUCACCACUGGG